AUGUGGACAAGGACUGCCAGUAGCUGGGGCAGCCCUGGAUGUCGAAAAUCUUGUUUAUCCCUGUUUUUAGCUGCCUACAUUGUGAAUUCCUGGUUCCCCUUGACUCACUCUAAAAGGCAGAAAGAAAUCGUUAAAACCAUUGAUAUCGUCGUAACUCCGAGAUAUCCCAUCGAGGGACAAGAUGUUGAAUUUGCCCCGAAAGGGAGUAUGGAACAUGUAACCGCCUGCCUGUGGUACAGAGGGGAGGAGGAUACAUACGCUGAAAUCUUUUUCAUUAAACGAAACCCUUUUCAACUCUCAUAUUCCACCGGCUACAACGGGCGACAGAAUGCAGGAGAGGACUGCAUCUUGCAUAUCCAGAACGUUACAUUUGACGAUCAGGCCUUGUACGGACUCCACAGGAACGAAACGAGUAAAUCUGAAAAUGGGGAGACCUUUUUACGAGUUCUAAGCAGACCACGGAGCCCUCCAGUAGCGCCAAAAGCUCUGGGUUCAGGGCUCCUCGCUCUGAUCAUUGCCGCCUGUCUCGUUGGAGCGAUCUUCAUUGCUGCCCUGUUUACUUACCAAGCCGUCGGAACCUCCGAAGCUGUCGAAGACCUUACAUGGACCAUGCACCUUACUACUGAAACUUUGCAGGACACUUCACUGCAGAGAGAACUUCCUCACAGCACCAAGCCAGAGCCAGUGAAGGCCCGACCAAGUGGAGUAAGUCAACCAAGUCAACCAGGAAAAAGUGCCCACAGAAUGGCGGCCAAAAAGCCCUAG
RNAcentral lists this long non-coding RNA (765 nucleotides) under Pogona vitticeps (central bearded dragon). RNAcentral describes it as "lncRNA (ENSPVIG00000021647.1)". Lineage: Eukaryota; Metazoa; Chordata; Lepidosauria; Squamata; Agamidae. The record is from RNAcentral.